UACGUAGGGUGCGAGCGUUAAUCGGAAUUACUGGGCGUAAAGCGUGCGCAGGUGGUUUGUUAAGUCAGAUGUGAAAGCCCCGAGCUUAACUUGGGAACUGCGUUUGAGACUGGCAAGCUAGAGUCUGUCAGAGGGGGGUAGAAUUCCACGUGUAGCAGCGAAAUGCGUAGAGAUGUGGAGGAAUACCAAUGGCGAAGGCAGCCCCCUGGGAUAAGACUGACGCUCAUGCACGAAAGCGUGGGGAGCAAACAGGAUUAGAUACCCUGGUAGUCCACGCCCUAAACGAUGUCAACUGGUUGUUGGGCAACUUGAUUGUUCAGUAACGAAGCUAACGCGAGAAGUUGACCGCCUGGGGAGUACGGUCGCAAGAUUAAAACUCAAAGGAAUUGACGGGGACCCGCACAAGCGGUGGAUGAUGUGGAUUAAUUCGAUGCAACGCGAAAAACCUUACCUACCCUUGACAUGUACGGAAGUCUGCUGAGAGGUGGAUGUGCCUGAAAGGGAACCGUAACACAGGUGCUGCAUGGCUGUCGUCAGCUCGUGUCGUGAGAUGUUGGGUUAAGUCCCGCAACGAGCGCAACCCUUGCUAUUAAUUGCCAUCAUUAAGUUGGGCACUUUAAUAGGACUGCUGGUGAUAAACCGGAGGAAGGUGGGGAUGACGUCAAGUCCUCAUGGCCCUUAUGGGUAGGGCUUCACACGUCAUACAAUGGCCGGUACAGAGGGAUGCCAACCCGCGAGGGGGAGCCAAUCUCAGAAGGCCGGUCGUAGUCCGGAUUGUUCUCUGCAACUCGAGAGCAUGAAGUCGGAAUCGCUAGUAAUCGCGGAUCAGCAUGUCGCGGUGAAUACGUUCCCGGGUCU
RNAcentral lists this ribosomal RNA (858 nucleotides) under uncultured bacterium. RNAcentral's name for it is "bacterial SSU rRNA". It matches the Rfam family "Bacterial small subunit ribosomal RNA", at positions 524 to 1381 of the family's 1533-position model. The record is from RNAcentral.